This 72-nucleotide transfer RNA is filed under the name Ovis aries (sheep). It matches the Rfam family "tRNA". From Rfam's summary of the family: Transfer RNA (tRNA) molecules are approximately 80 nucleotides in length. Lineage: Eukaryota; Metazoa; Chordata; Mammalia; Artiodactyla; Bovidae. The record is from Rfam by way of RNAcentral.
UCUCUGGUGGCUCAGAUCGUAAAGAACCUGCCUGCAAUGCGGGAGAUCCAGGUUCAAUUCCUGGCUCAGGAA